RNAcentral lists this ribosomal RNA (253 nucleotides) under uncultured bacterium. RNAcentral's name for it is "partial 16S ribosomal RNA". It matches the Rfam family "Bacterial small subunit ribosomal RNA", at positions 524 to 776 of the family's 1533-position model. The record is from RNAcentral.
UACGUAGGGGGCAAGCGUUGUCCGGAUUUAUUGGGCGUAAAGAGCGUGUAGGCGGCCAUACAGGUCAGCUGUGAAAACUCGAGGCUCAACCUCGAGACGUCGGUUGAAACCGUAUGGCUAGAGUCCGGAAGAGGAGAGUGGAAUUCACGGUGUAGCAGUGAAAUGCGUAGAUAUCGUGAGGAAGACCAGUGGCGAAGGCGGAUCUCUGGAGAGUUCCUGACGCUGAGGCACGAAGGCCAGGGGAGCAAACGGG